This is a long non-coding RNA of Astatotilapia calliptera (eastern happy), 1916 nucleotides long. Lineage: Eukaryota; Metazoa; Chordata; Actinopteri; Cichliformes; Cichlidae. The record is from Ensembl.
GCAUGGGUCCUGUCUCCACCUCAGACUGCUAUUCAGGUGACUCUUGUCACCAUAAGACGUUAGAGUUUAACUUUUAUUAUUGUUGUUGGGUAAUAUUGUAUGUGUUGAACUAUUUGUUCAAUUAUUUGAAGAAGUCAUUGUACAAUUAAUGCACAAUAUAUUUCCAAUUUAGAUAUUGGAGUGGAUCUGCAAAGGCAUAAAUCCUCUGCAUGGAGUCUAUCCUGGAUCUAAACUAGUCUUUUUUUUAUUAGUCAAACAAAUUUUAAAGAUUUAGAAAUCUUUUUAUUUUUGUGGUCUUUUCUAUUCCAUGUUAAUGGGGCUGACAUCACUACACCAGCUAUAAAAGUGUUUGUUUUUAUUUCUUUUGAAAAAUUGGAAAUAGUAAUAACUUUACUGCAGUGGUAACACUUUGCAAAUCCAUCCAGGGGAAUAAAAUGCACCCUUUGGUGCCGCUGCUGGCCCAUGAUGUAGGCCAGUGGUGUUAAACAUUACAUCUAGGUUAGAUCUGAGUGAGUGUACAACCCAGUUUGGCCUAGAUCUUACCUGGAUGUGUGGACUGUGAGUUUCACAAGCCUGAUCUAAUGUUUGUUUUGUUUUUUUUUUUACCCAUCCUCUAAGAUUUCACGCAACUGUAUUACACCAGUUGUUCUAAAUCCAUGAUCCAUUUGUUUUAGCUAGUGAAGUCUGUGGUGUUGUGUGUAUGGGAUAGUCUGAAAACCUUAAACAAUGUAAACAUCAUCUGUUGGAAAGGUCACAAUGUUUUAACUUUUUUAUUGGUAAUCCUAAUUUCUUAAAAAAAAAGUUUGUGUGAUAUUUAUGACUAAUAUUAAAAAAGAGAGAAACAGAAUGCAUGUUUGAACAGCUUUAUGAUGACCUAUAAUUAUGUUUGGUUGUCACUUCACCCUCUAGUGGCCUUAGUUAUGUCGGAAACGAAGGAGGAAGUAAAAGCCGUGGAAUUGAGUAUAUGUGUGGGGAAGAGUUUGGGUUGGAUGGACUGAUGAUGAUGGUCCUUUCAAGCUUUGACUCGUGACUUGUGGUCAGUCUCUGGCAUAAACAGUGUUUUUAUGUUCACAACCAUGCCUUUCCUACUGACUUUCCAAGUUUGUGCUAAUUGCAGCCUUGACUACGUUUCUGUUAUUGUUAUCUUGAUCGUGAAAUUCCUUCUUUUUCUUUUCUUUUUUUUUUUAAAUCCCAAACCCAUUCCCCUCCCAUCAGACUUGCAGAUGUUUGGGAGUGGUUAUUGCAGCCUAGCGAGUUAUCAGCUCAAGUUACGCCAUCUUCUCUUCUCCAAUGUGGUUUACUUGUGGAACAGCUAUGUUUGACUCUUGAUGCUGAUCAGGAGGAUGGUGUGGUUUUUCUCCUCACAGCUCAGUUGGGUCAUGUAGGCAUUUUGGAAGGGCAGUGUACCUUGCUUUGCUCAUUUUUCCUUCUCAUAAUAACUGAGCUCUAGCAUGAGAACUAGUUUUUGAAGUGCAGCUUUAUUUAUUUACACAGUUAAGUGCAAAUGAUGACCUAUGUGAACUUGCUUUUAGGCUAAGUUUUAAUUUCCAAAUAGCUGGUAUGACUGGGCUCCAAAGGAGAUGUGGUUGAGAAGAACGCUCCUCUGGGUCAUUGUAUGCAAGCACAAGCGCAUGUGUGCUCUCAAUUACAGUGUAGUGUUCCCAGGGUCUCCACCUUCUGUGUUUCAGAGUGAGAAGCUGCUAGAGGAGGUUAGUUACAUAAGCCUGUUGGGUGUUGCGUCAUUGUUUUGGGGGCCCCAGUUCAGAGAGCUGGGGCUGAGACUUCAGUUGGGUCUGAUGGACCACUGCCUCCCACAAAUCCAACCACCCCCCUCCAUUGAAAGCAGAUGCUCAAUGACUCUCCUGCUGGGAGACAUGGCUCAGUAUUGGCAAUGAAAUGAGGCUCCACCUGUAGCA